GGGGACGUGGUGUAGUGGUUUAACACAUCUCCCUGUCACGGAGAAGAUCGCCGGUUCAAAUCCGGUCGUCCCCGCCU
Molecule: transfer RNA, 77 nt
Filed under: Parcubacteria group bacterium CG07_land_8_20_14_0_80_35_11
Lineage: Bacteria
Description: tRNA-Asp
Rfam family: tRNA
About the family: Transfer RNA (tRNA) molecules are approximately 80 nucleotides in length.
Source: RNAcentral